This 6315-nucleotide long non-coding RNA is filed under the name Homo sapiens (human). RNAcentral's name for it is "HSALNT0327441". Lineage: Eukaryota; Metazoa; Chordata; Mammalia; Primates; Hominidae. The record is from RNAcentral.
CCAGUUUGAAAGUCUUCAUAACUCUUUUCCUUAAAAAUAUUUCUCGCCUCUCCCUCUCCCCCUCCCCCUCCCCCUCUCCCUCUCCCCACGGUCUCCCUCUCCCUCUCUUUCCAGGGUCUCCCUCUGAUGCCCAGCCGAAGCUGGACUGUACUGCUGCCAUCUCGGCUCACUGCAACCUCCCCGCCUGAUUCUCCUGCCUCAGCCUGCAGAGUGCCUGCCAUUGCAGGCACGCGCCGCCACGCCUGACUGGUUUUCGUAUUUUUUUGGUGGAGAUGGGGUUUCGCUGUGUUGGCCGGGCUAGUCUCCAGCUCCUAACCGCGAGUGAUCCGCCAGCCUCGGCCUCCGGAGGUGCCGGGAUUGCAGACGGUGUCUGGUUCAAUCAGUGCUCAAUGGUGCCCAGGCUGGAAUGCAGUGGCGUGAUCUCGGCUCGCUACAACCUCCACCUCCCAGCCACCUGCCUUGGCCUCCCAAAGUGCCGAGAGUGCAGCCUCUGCCCGGCCGCCACCCCGUCUGGGAAGUGAGGAGCGUCUCUGCCUGGCCGCCUAUCGUCUGGGACGUGAGGAGCCCCUCUGCGUGGCUGCCCAGUCUGGAAAGUGAGGAGCGUCUCUGCCCGGUCGCCAUCCCAUCUAGGAAGUGAGGAGCGCCUCUUCCCGGCCGCCAUCCCAUCUAGGAAGUGAGGAGCAUCUCUGCCUGGCCGCCCUUCUUCUGAGAUGUGGGGAGCGCCUUUGCCCCACCGCCCUGUCUGGGAUGUGAGGAGCGCCUCUGCCAGGCCGCGACCCCGUCUGGGAGGUGAGGAGCGUCUCUGCCCAGCCGCCCCGUCUGAGAAGGGAGGAGACCCUCCGCCCGGCAACCGCCCCGUCUCAGAAGUGAGGAGCCCUUCCACCCGGCAGUCACCCCGUCUGGGACGUGAGGAGCGUCUCCGCCAGGCAGCCACCCCGUCCGGGAGGGAGGUGGGGGUCAGCCCCCACCAGGCCAGCCGCCCCGUCCGGGAGGGAGGUGGGGGGGCCAGCCCCCCGCCCGGCUAGCCGCCCCGUCUGGGAGGUGAGGGGCGCCUCUGCUCAGCCGCCCCUACUGGGAAGUGAGGAACCCCUCUACCCGGCCAGCCGCUCCGUCCGGGAGGGAGGUGGGGGGGUCAGACCGGCCAGCCGCCCCGUCCGGGAGGGAGGUGGGGGGGUCAGCCCCCCGCCCGGCCAGCCGCCUCGUCCGGGAGGUGAGGGGCGCCUCUGCCCGGCCACCCCUACUGGGAAGUGAGGAGCCCCUCUGCCCGGCCAGCCGCCCCGUCCGGGAGGGAGGUGGGGGGGUCAGCCCCCCGCCUGGCCAGCCGCCACGUCCGGGAGGGAGUUAGGGGGGUCAGCCCCCUGCCCAGCCAGCCCCCUCGUCCCGGGGGGUGAGGGGCGCCUCUGCCGGGCCGCCCCUACUGGGAAGUGAGGAGCCCCUCUGCCCGGCCAGCCGCCCCGUCCGGGAGGGAGGUGGGGGGGGUCAGCCCCCCGCCCGGCCAGCUGCCUCGUCCGGGAGGUGAGGGGCGCCUCUGCCCGGCCGCCCCUACUGGGAAGUGAGGAGCCCCUCUGCCCGGCCACCACCCCGUCUGGGAGGUGUACCCAACAGCUCAUUGAGAACCGGCCAUGAUGACAAUGGCGGUUUUGUGGAAUAGAAAGGGGGGAAAUGUGGGGAAAAGAUUGAGAAAUCGGAUGGUUGCCGUGUCUGUGUGGAAAGAAGUAGACAUGGGAGACUUUUCAUUUUGUUCUGUACUAAGAAAAAUUCUUCUGCCUUGGGAUCCUGUUGAUCUGUGACCUUACCUCCAACCCUGUGCUCUCUGAAACAGGUGCUGUGUCCACUCAGGGUUAAAUGGAUUAAGGGUGGUGCAAGAUGUGCUUUGUUAAACAGAUGCUUGAAGGCAGCAUGCUCGUUAAGAGUCAUCACCACUCCCUAAUCUCAAGUACCCGGGGACACAAACACUGAGGAAGGCCGCAGGGUCCUCUGCCUAGGAAAUCCAGAGACCUUUGUUCACUUGUUUAUCUGCUGACCUUCCCUCCACUAUUGUCCUAUGACCCUGCCAAAUCCCCCUCUGUGAGAAACACCCAAGAAUGAUCAAUAAAAAAAAAUAAUAAUAAUUAAAAAAAAUAUUUCUCACCUGGGCGUGGUGGCUCACGCCUGUAAUCCUAGUACUUUGGGAGGCUGAGGUAGGCAGAUCAUGAGGUCAGGAGUUCGAGACCAGACUGGCCAACAUGGUGAAACGCCGUCUCUUCCAAAAAUACAAAAAUUAGCAGGGCGUGGUGGCACACGCCUGUAGUCCCAGCUAUUCAGGCAGACAGCUGAGGCAAUAGAAUAGCUUGAACCGGGAGGUGGAGGUUGCAGUGAGCCGAGAUUGUGCCACUGCACUCCAGCCCGGGUGACAGAGCGAGACUCUGUCUCAAAAAAUAAAAAUAAUAAAUAAAUAAAAUUCCCAUUUUUUGAUCAAAUGAAAAAAAAAAUCUACAAAGUAGAAAACCCCAAAAACCAUAACACUAGAUAAUAGUUGACCACUAAUGCCUGAAAUGAUUAUCAUGAGCGAUUAUUUCUUUGGGUCUAGAAGGCCUUUGUGUAGAUGAGCGACCACUAUGACCAAUUCACUCCUUGCCUACCAUCCAGACACCUUAGCCUCACUGCCAACAAGCUAAGAGAUGCUGGCUGAGUAAGGGCCUACUCUGGCUUAUAAGGACCCCUGCAGCUCCAGUGAUUUAUAAUUCUAAGUAAACUAACACUUUAAAGAGAUGAGUCAAGAGCUGCUUGAUGGAAAAUCACUCCAGGCAAAGGAUACUGAGUGCAAAGGAAUGACGGGGGCAUACAUGGCUGGAGCAGGAUGAUGAUAUGAAUCACAGGCGAUAACAUCAAGGAGGUGGUGUGUGUGUGUGGAUGGGGAAGAGGGGACAGGAUGUGUAAACCUUUGAUAGAUUUUGGUUUUCACUCAGAGGGAAGUGGAAAGCACUUUAGUAUUUUUGUUUUCUUUUCCUUUUUUUGUUCUUGGAGCAAAAAAUGGAGUGUUGCUCUUGUUGCCCAGGCUGGAGUGCAAUGGUGCCAUCUCGGCUCACCACAACCUCCGCCUCCCAGGUUCAAGUGAUUGAACAGCCUCCCGAGUAGCUGGGAUUCCAGGUGCCCGACACCACACAUGGCUAAAUUCUUUUGUAUUUUUAGUAGAGACAGGGUUUGGCCAUGUUGGCCAGGCUGGUCUCAAACUCCUGAUCUCAGGUGAUCUGCCUGCCUCGGCCUCCCAAAGUGCUAGGAUUACAGGCAUGAGCCACUGUACCCAGCCUAAUUUUCAUUUUAUAAUUUUUUUUUUUUUUGAGACAGAGUCUUGCUCUGUUGCCCAGGCUGGAGUGCAGUGGCACAAUCUCUGGUCACUGCAACCUCCGCCUCCAGGACUCAAGCGAUUGUCCUGCCUCAGCCUCCGGAGUAGCUGGGAUUAUAAGCCUGUGCCACCACGUCUGGCUAAUUUUUAGUAGAGAUGGGGUUUCACCAUGUUGGCCAGGCUGGUCUCGAACUCCUGACCUCAAGUGAUCUGCCUGCCUUGGCUUCCCAAAGUGCUGGGAUUACAGGUGUGAGCCAGUGUGCCUGGCCAAAUAAUUUUAAUUUUUUAGAGACAGGGUCUCACUUGGUUGCUCAGGCUAGAGUGCAGUGGCACAAUCACAGCUCACUGCAGCCUGGAGCUCCUGGGCUUAAGUGAUCCCUCUGCCCAGCCACCUGCAUAGCUGGGACUAUAGGUGCAUACAACCACCCCUGGGCAAUUUUUUUGUAGAAAUAGGGUCUCAAUAUAUUGCCCAGGCUGAUCUCAAACUCCUAGGCUCAACCAAUCCUUCUGCCUUGGCCUCCCAAAUUUCUGGGAUUAUAAGCAUGAGCCACUGCACCUAGCCUGACUCCAAGACUUGAUUUGAGCAAUUGGAAGGAUGGAGUUGUAAUUUAAGGAGAGGGGGAAGACUGUGAAAAGGGCAGUGGAGGUGUAAUGAAUCAGGAAGUUAGUUUUGGACUUAUGCUUGAUAUGCCUGUAGAAACAUCCAAGGGGGGAUUUUGAAUAGCUAGAUGAAUAUGCUAUAUGUCUGGAUUGGGGAAAUCAGGAGUAGAAAUAGAAAUUUGGGAGCUGUCAACAUAUAGAUCGUAUUUAAAACCAUGGGAGUGAAUGAGGUCACCAAAGGAAUGAGUGUAUACUUUGAGAAGAAAAGAAGUCUGCUGGGCGCAGUGGCUCAUGCCUGUAAUCCCAACAGUUUGGGAAUCCAAGGUGGGAGGAUUGCUUGAGCCCAGGUGUUCAAGACCAGCCUGGGCAACAUAGUGAGAACCUGUCUCUACAAGAAAUAAAAAAGUAUUAGCCAGGCCUGGUGGUGUGUGCCUGUAGUCCCAGCUACUCAGGGCCUGAGGUGAGAGGAUUGCUUAAGCCUGGGAGGUUGAGGCUGCAGUGAGCCAUGAUCGUGCCACUGCACUCCAGCCUGGGCAGCAGAGUAAAAUCCUGUCUCAAAAAAAAAAAAAAGAAAAGAAGUCCAAAGACUAAGCUAGGGGCACUCACUCCAGAAUAUAGUGGUCAGGAGGGUAGGUGGGAACUAGCAAAGAACCCACUUCUGAGUUGCUAAUGCGACAGAUGGAGAAUCAAGAGAAGAGUGGGCCUGGAAGCCAAGUGAAUAGAGCAUUCCAGAAAGAGGGAGAAAUCAAUCGUGUCCAAUUCUACAGCUAGGCUGAGUAACUGAGAAAGGACUGAAAGAGGACCAUAGGACUUACCAUGUGGAUUUCAUUACUAACCUUGUCCAGAGUGAGUGCUCAAUGAAUCAGUGAAUAAAUGAGUGUAACUUUCUCCAACUAUAUUUGAUUAGGACCCAGUAACUUGGGACUUUGUUUCUCCAGGAAGAGUUUGACAAAUUAUUUGAAUGAAAUACCUUUUCCCUCAAUGUCUAAACUCCUCUUUGGAAUUGUAGGUGGUGGAAGAUUGCAGAAGGUUCCUAAUCUCUGGAAGCCAGGCAGUCUAGUUGCCUGUGGUCAUUUCUUUGUACUGUUCCACACAGCCAUACAAUACUCCAAUCCCUUCAGGGCGAAGGAGUCAUCAACACCUGAAAAACAAAUACUAUACUCCCAAAAUUACAGAAAAACACCUGCAAACUGACUCAAGUGAGUUUAGUUCAUUUAGUCAGGCUGGGGGAAGAAACCACAUUUUUGAGAUAAUUAACUCAUAGCAUUGUUCAAUAAAGUCUUUUAUUGGAAAUUGUGAUGAUUCAAGGCAUAUUCCCAUAAAAUACAGUGAAAAUUUAAAUCGAAAGCAGCUGGACCCUGAUGUAUUGUUCUCUGAAAGAGGAAGAUUCCACCUUAAAGGCAGUCAUUCUAUAGCAGUUCCCAUUUCUUAGGUGCUUACUAUAUACCAGAAACGGUACUAAGAAGUGCUUUAUGGACAUUUAGCAAAGUGAAUCCUCACAACCACCCUACGAGAGAGGUACUAGUAUCAUUCCCAGAUGAUAGAUGUAAUAUUAAUAAGCUACAGAUGAGGAAAUGGAUGCUUGAAAAGUUUGAAGGGACAUCUUAGGAAUCAGUUAUCUCCCCUGGGGAGGGACCUUCAGGAAUGGCCUGAUCCCUAUCAGGAGAGCUGUCCGCUGUUCAGGAUGUCAAAGGUUCCUGUUCUGCUUCUAGAAGUCAGCUUUUCCUGGGAGGAAAAGUGGGCAUGGGCUGAGGUGAGAGCUGGGGUGCAGGUGGAGUAUGAAGACUCCUCAGAGAAAGGAAAUAAACAAAAAAUAUUUAUUGAGCUUCUACCAUGUAUCAAACCCAGUCACUAGUCACUAUUUUAUCCUCAGACAGACACCUAUAAACCUUUAAACCACGUGUGUGUGUAUAUAUAUAUAUAUUAUAAGAAAGCUUAGAGAGGAUAAGUAAACUUGGGAUCACACAGAUGUCAACAAGGGGAGAAGCCUGUCCGGGUGUGGUGGCUCAUUCCUGUAAUCCCAGCACUUUGGGAGGCUGAGUGGGGAGGAUCACAUGAAGCCAGGAGUUCCAGACCAGACUGGACAAGAUAGGGAGACCCCACUUCUAUUUUCUAAUAGAAAUUAAAAUAAAAAAUAAAGAAAAUUUCUUUAUACAUUGAGCUGAAAUUAAACCCCACUGUGGCUUCCACCAAUUUUUGCUCUCUGGAGCAACUCAAAACACAUCUAAAUCCUCUUCUACAAGCGAAUCCUUUAAAUAUUUGAAAAUACCUAUGUCUCUCUUCUGUGCUCUUCUGGUACCAAUAGUUUAAAUGGGUAACAGUAGACUUUGUUUUAUUCAAUCUUUUAAAAAGCAAAUAAAAAGUAAGACAUGCUGGGUGCGGUGGCUCAC